UUCCGGUUGAUCCUGCCGGACCCGACUGCUAUUUGGGUGAGGAUAAGCCAUGCGAGUUGAAUGGGAAACCUAAAAAUCCCAUGGCAAACUGCUCAGUAACACAUGAUCAACUUACCCUAUAGAGGAAAAUAACCUCGGGAACCUGAGGAUAAUGUUCCAUAGUUGAAUCGGCUUGGAAAAGUUUUUCAAUAAAAGGGAUAAGGAAAAUGGUCCUUAUCUGCUAUAGGAUAGGAUCGUGCUCGAUUAUGGUUGUUGGUGAGGUAAAGGCUCACCAAGCCGAUAAUCGAUAGGGGCCGUGAGAGCGGGAGCCCCGAGAUGGGUACUGAGACAACGACCCAGGCCUUACGAGGCGCAGCAGGCGCGAAACCUCCGCAGUACACGAAAGUGUGACGGGAUUACCCAAAGUGUUCAUUAGAACUGUGGUAGGUGAGUAAUGUUCCCUACUAGAAAGGAGAGGGCAAGGCUGGUGCCAGCCGCCGCGGUAAAACCAGCUCUUCAAGUGGUCGGGAUAAUUAUUGGGCUUAAAGUGUCCGUAGCCGGUUUAGUAAGUUCCUGGUAAAAUCGGGUAGCUUAACUAUCUAUAUGCUAGGAAUACUGCUAUACUAGAGGGCGGGAGAGGUCUGAGGUACUACAGGGGUAGGGGUGAAAUCUUAUAAUCCUUGUAGGACCACCAGUGGCGAAGGCGUCAGACUGGAACGCGCCUGACGGUGAGGGACGAAAGCCAGGGGAGCAAACCGGAUUAGAUACCCGGGUAGUCCUGGCCGUAAACGAUGCAUACUAGGUGAUGGCACGGCCAUGAGCCGUGUCAGUGCCGUAGGGAAACCGUUAAGUGUGCCGCCUGGGAAGUACGGUCGCAAGGCUAAAACUUAAAGGAAUUGGCGGGGGAGCACCACAAGGGGUGAAGCCUGCGGUUCAAUUGGAUUCAACGCCGGAAAUCACUAGUGCGGCCG
This 950-nucleotide ribosomal RNA is filed under the name uncultured archaeon. RNAcentral describes it as "bacterial SSU rRNA". It matches the Rfam family "Archaeal small subunit ribosomal RNA", at positions 1 to 941 of the family's 1478-position model. The record is from RNAcentral.